This 84-nucleotide transfer RNA is filed under the name Suillus subaureus. It matches the Rfam family "tRNA". From Rfam's summary of the family: Transfer RNA (tRNA) molecules are approximately 80 nucleotides in length. The record is from Rfam by way of RNAcentral. Lineage: Eukaryota; Fungi; Basidiomycota; Agaricomycetes; Boletales; Suillaceae.
GGGCAUAUGGUGUAGCUGGUUAUCACAUCCGCUUAGCACGUUGCUUGAGUGCGGGGGUCUCCGGUUCGAGUCCGGAUUUGUCCA